RNAcentral lists this unclassified non-coding RNA (305 nucleotides) under uncultured fungus. RNAcentral describes it as "partial contains 5.8S ribosomal RNA and internal transcribed spacer 2". The stretch from base 1 to 133 matches the Rfam family "5.8S ribosomal RNA", at positions 22 to 154 of the family's 154-position model. The record is from RNAcentral. Lineage: Eukaryota; Fungi.
UGGUUCUGGCAUNGAUGAAGAACGCAGCGAAAUGCGAUAAGUAAUGUGAAUUGCAGAAUUCAGUGAAUCAUCGAAUCUUUGAACGCACAUUGCGCCCUCUGGUAUUCCGGGGGGCAUGCCUGUUCGAGCGUCAUUAUACCAAUCACGCAAGUGGUGUUGGGGCCUGCCGUCGGCAGCCCUUAAAAGCAGUGGCAGUGCCAUAGGCUCUCAGCGCAGUAAUUCUUCCGCUCUCGAGUCCUAGAAGCACCCGCCAAAACCCUAAUCUUUCUUAGGUUGACCUCGGAUCAGGUAGGGAUACCCGCUGA